Molecule: ribosomal RNA, 774 nt
Filed under: uncultured Neocallimastigales
Lineage: Eukaryota; Fungi; Neocallimastigomycota; Neocallimastigomycetes; Neocallimastigales
Description: partial large subunit ribosomal RNA
Rfam family: Eukaryotic large subunit ribosomal RNA
Source: RNAcentral
UCAGACGAUGCGUCAUGCAUAUCAAUAAGCGGAGGAAAAGAAACUAACAAGGAUUCCCCUAGUAACGGCGAGUGAAGCGGGAAGAGCUCAAAUUUGAAAUCUUAAAGGGAUUCCCUUUACGAAUUGUAGUUUAAAGAAGUGUUUUCUGUUGAGGUUUUGGUAAAAGUUCUUUGGAAUAGGACAUCAUAGAGGGUGAGAAUCCCGUAUUUGACCUUUACUUUCAACUUUGUGAUACACUUUCAAAGAGUCGGAUUGUUUGGGAAUGCAGUCCAAAAUGGGUGGUAAAUUUCAUCUAAAGCUAAAUAUUGGCGAGAGACCGAUAGCGAACAAGUACCGUGAGGGAAAGAUGAAAAGAACUUUGAAAAGAGAGUUAAACAGUACGUGAAAUUGUCAAAAGGGAAGCGUUUGACACCAGUGUUGUUUUUCUGAAAAUCAAUUAAAGAACUGUUUAUGCUAAGCUGUUUAGACUUUAUCAGCUAUCUGUUUAGUUUUGAGCUUUCCUUUAAUGCACUUUUCAGUUAACAAGUCAACAUCAAUUUCUUUUGCUGUAAAAAAGCUUGAGGAAGGUGGCUUGAGAUUCGUCUUAAGUGUUUAUAGCCUCUUGCCUAUGCAGUCGGAGAGAUUGAGGUCUGCAGCGUAGAUCCUUCGGGGCUAAAUGCAUUUGUGCUAAGUUAUAGCAUUUUAUAGACAACUUGUUGACUAUGAUUUGUCUUGUAGCUUACUCGCUUAUGUUAUUUUACCUACGCUUAGGAUGUUGAAUCUGUGCGAGACUAC